CAUCAUAUCCACCUGCAUCAAAAGUACUCAUAUAGUCUCUGUAAUGGCCAUCAUGGCUUGGAUAUCUCCUUCUGAUUUCCUAAUUUUACAAAUGCAUUAUGUCCCGUCUGUCAUCCCAUGCUGUCCUAGCCUCUUUCAACUAAAGGCAACCCUCAUCCCACCAUACUCCUAGCUUAUUCAAAAGGCUCCAAAAUUUCUUACAUAGCUGGUAUCUCUUCUGAUCAUUGGCAGGAUGAGGAUCACAUGAUCCACGGAGGAAACUAUUAGACUGAAUGACACAAGGGGAGCAAUAGCAUGACUCACAGUAGUUCAACCCUCGAAGAAUAGGCGGGUUCUCUCCCUCAUAUCCUCUGAUCUCAUUUCUAGUGCCUAUAAUUUAUAUAAUUUAUUUGUAUAGGCCACUCAGUGUUAAUCAGUGUGAUUUAAUUAGCUUAAAAUAGCUACGAACUGCUCUCUCCUCUAUUUCAGAAUCUUCACUUCCUUCAUUGAUCUUCUUGCACAUUAGCUGCGCUUUACUUUCACCCUGCUCUCUUCUGACCAUCUCCCUCACUUCCGUUAUCAAUGACUGUCUUGGCACAGUGUCAUAUUCUAUUGUUAUCUACUUUUUUAUUUUGGUUAAAAGUUAGUAAAACUGUCUGUACCCU
This is a long non-coding RNA of Amphimedon queenslandica, 644 nucleotides long. RefSeq lists it as uncharacterized. The record is from RefSeq and is a predicted model, not a curated record. NCBI's taxonomy places the organism in Eukaryota, Metazoa, Porifera, Demospongiae, Haplosclerida, Niphatidae. The transcript has 2 exons.